UCUUCACAAGCAAAACGGCAAGAAAAAUAAGGUUGUUGUACUUUCUUAAUGGCGGUGGAAAUGUCACCAGACAUUUUCUGCUUGGUUUGUUUUCAAACACAAUCAGUCGGUUGCCAGUUCACACACACUAAGAGAAAGCACCGCAUGGUCAGGAGAAAUCAUGAGGAAAUUAUAGGAAAAGGGGCGGAGGCAAGGAAUUUUCCCCACCAUCGUUUCCAUACUCACCAUCUUUAGACAGAGAGAAGAGAGGAAGAAGUGCAGACACCAAAAUGGAGGGCAAGAAAGCACAUGGUGGACAGUGGGGGGAGUGAGGAAGGAACAACACAAAAGAAAUCAGGUCAGAUUGGACAGUCAAGAUUUUUGUAUGACGAAAGCAGAGCGGAACCACUUUCAACGUCUCAUGACCAAACCCAGAAAACCGUACCGUGAGGGAUUUGAGACGAUGCUACCAAGUGACAGCCAAGCAGCCUUUGAGUCAGAUGUCAACAAUGUGACCUCAAUCAAGUUGUCCCACUUCUCCAAUUGUUCCACUGUGUCCUUUGGGAUGCUCACAAGGAUUCGGCAGCACAAGUAGUCUACUCAGUGGAGUCCUGACACAUUCACGAGGUAAUGAAAAGGGAACAGAGAACGCCCUCGGGUUCUGUUACACUUGUUCAAAGCAUUACAGGGGCCGAGAACAUGGCUCUUUGACUCCCUCUAGCGGACAACACGCAGAUAACAGCUACAAAAAGUUACAUGAGUCCAUUUCUUUUUUUAAUGGAGCAGAAGAAAUUUAUUUUAGUUUCUUCGUGAUUAGAACCAAUUCACUACAAAAACUAAAUACAUCCAAAGGAUAAUUGUAUUUUCUGCUUACAUGUAAUUUUGAGUUUACAAUGCCAAAGUAGGAAAAGUUAAUCUUGUUUGGAGAUAUUCUAAUGUACCUAAUAAAGUGGCCAAUACAAUAUAUUGACAUUCCCCUUGUAUACUGUCAUGACAUCCAAUGUGUGUGAUUAAACAACUUAAUUAUAA
Syngnathus typhle (broad-nosed pipefish) is the source of this 1008-nucleotide long non-coding RNA. RefSeq lists it as uncharacterized. NCBI's taxonomy places the organism in Eukaryota, Metazoa, Chordata, Actinopteri, Syngnathiformes, Syngnathidae. The record is from RefSeq and is a predicted model, not a curated record. The transcript is spliced from 2 exons.